This 294-nucleotide ribosomal RNA is filed under the name uncultured bacterium. RNAcentral describes it as "partial 16S ribosomal RNA". It matches the Rfam family "Bacterial small subunit ribosomal RNA", at positions 790 to 1084 of the family's 1533-position model. The record is from RNAcentral.
GUAGUCCACGCCGUAAACGUUGGGAACUAGAUGUGGGGUCCAUUCCACGGAUUCCGUGUCGCAGCUAACGCAUUAAGUUCCCCGCCUGGGGAGUACGGCCGCAAGGCUAAAACUCAAAGGAAUUGACGGGGGCCCGCACAAGCGGCGGAGCAUGCGGAUUAAUUCGAUGCAACGCGAAGAACCUUACCAAGGCUUGACAUGCACCUGAAAAGGCUGGAAACAGUCUCCUCGCAAGACAGGUGCACAGGUGGUGCAUGGUUGUCGUCAGCUCGUGUCGUGAGAUGUUGGGUUAAG